GCCCAUGUAGCUCAGUCGGUAGAGCACCUCCUUGGUAAGGAGGUGGUCGCCAGUUCGAUUCUGGCCGUGGGCUCCA
RNAcentral lists this transfer RNA (76 nucleotides) under Deltaproteobacteria bacterium. RNAcentral describes it as "tRNA-Thr". It matches the Rfam family "tRNA". From Rfam's summary of the family: Transfer RNA (tRNA) molecules are approximately 80 nucleotides in length. Their secondary structure includes four short double-helical elements and three loops (D, anti-codon, and T loops). Lineage: Bacteria; Pseudomonadati; Myxococcota; Myxococcia. The record is from RNAcentral.